RNAcentral lists this ribosomal RNA (425 nucleotides) under uncultured bacterium. RNAcentral describes it as "partial 16S ribosomal RNA". It matches the Rfam family "Bacterial small subunit ribosomal RNA", at positions 354 to 796 of the family's 1533-position model. The record is from RNAcentral.
GUGGGGAAUCUUGCGCAAUGGGCGAAAGCCUGACGCAGCCAUGCCGCGUGAAUGAUGAAGGUCUUAGGAUUGUAAAAUUCUUUCACCGGGGACGAUAAUGACGGUACCCGGAGAAGAAGCUCCGGCUAACUUCGUGCCAGCAGCCGCGGUAAUACGAAGGGGGCUAGCGUUGCUCGGAAUUACUUGGCGUAAAGGGCGCGUAGGCGGACAGCUUAGUCAGAGGUGAAAGCCCAGGGCUCAACCUUGGAAUUGCCUUUGAUACUGGCUGUCUUGAGUACGGGAGAGGUGAGUGGAACUCCGAGUGUAGAGGUGAAAUUCGUAGAUAUUCGGAAGAACACCAGUGGCGAAGGCGACUCACUGGCCCGUUACUGACGCUGAGGCGCGAAAGCGUGGGGAGCAAACAGGAUUAGAUACCCCGGUAGUCC